Molecule: long non-coding RNA, 1023 nt
Filed under: Anas platyrhynchos platyrhynchos (common mallard)
Lineage: Eukaryota; Metazoa; Chordata; Aves; Anseriformes; Anatidae
Description: lncRNA (ENSAPLG00000019179.1)
Source: RNAcentral
CCCCCCCCCCCCCCCCUUCUGUCAGGGCAGCGGAGCGGCUCCGCCCCGGUGCUGGCAGAAUGAGGUGAAAAUGCCCCCGCACAGCCCCCGAGCCGGCUCCAAGCGCCCUGCUCAAUAAUUCAAGUGAGCUGAGCUGCCUUCGGCUGGGCAGCAGAAGGGAGGGGGCGUGCUGGGGCGGGCAGACGGGGAGCCCUGCGGAGAGUGCCGGGAUGCACCUAUCGGAUGCACAGCCUUCUGAUGGCUGAAAUUAGAUUUUAUAUAGACACACAGCGUGUUUUUGCAUCGCAGCUUGGGCGAUUGCCUCGCACCCCCCUAAGCGGCGGCUCCUUGGCCCCGGAGUCUGCAGCUCGGGCUGCCUCGUGGCGUGCCUCGAGGGAGGGGAAGGCCCGAGGGAAAGGCCGGAGCUCCGCAGGGUGUGAGGCAGCCCCAGUUAAGCUGGGCAGGCUGCUGGGGGGGGUUUAUUUUAGCCUCGCAUGUCUGAAUUUAUUGAGAGACUUCACAGUGGCCGUAAAGUACUUAAGAACCUAUAUAUACAUUUUUGAAAAGAACACCAUUGGUGUCACGGAGCUAGCUCUGGCAUGGGAUAUAGCAGCUGGGUACCACAGAACAGCAGCACGGCCAUAUCAAGGUCUCUUGAGCUAUCCUCUGGUCUCAGGGAAAACGGUAUCUAUGUGGAUACUCACGUAUGAACACACCAAACUUGGUUUGCGUGCCUGUUCUCAACAGUUUCUUCAUGCUUCAUAUUCUAAUCACCUACUGACUGCCAGAGAUUGCACAGAGGUCAAAGUCCCACUGCCCAGUGUCAUCACAUUCAAAUCCCACAGUAACCUGAAUAGGGAAGUAAUGCUGUGUACAUGACUGAUGUCAUCUCAGUACAGAGCAGCCCAAGCCCUAACACAGCUAUGUCACCAUGAACUAUGUGGUCAUACCUACAUCACAAAGUAAAGCAGCCAUAUCAAAUGGGAUCGUGUCUGUACUUCACUCAGAGGUCUGCAGUGGCCUGAAGCUGCAGUCCAUCAUGAG